Long non-coding RNA from Papaver somniferum (opium poppy), 1620 nucleotides. RefSeq lists it as uncharacterized. The record is from RefSeq and is a predicted model, not a curated record. NCBI's taxonomy places the organism in Eukaryota, Viridiplantae, Streptophyta, Magnoliopsida, Ranunculales, Papaveraceae. The transcript is spliced from 2 exons.
UUCUUUUCUCUUCUUAUUUUUCUCGUAUUCUCUGUUCUUCUUUUUAUUUUUCUUCUCUUCUUUAUGUUCUUCCUCCGAGAGAUUUAUGAGCUGUGAGUGAGGAUUGAUUAAAGAAACUCAGUGAUGAAUAUUUAUAGAUGAUGGCGGAGUCGAGUUGUUGUUGAAGAAUAUUAAAAUAAAGAUGAAUCAGAGAAAAGCAGAAUCAGAGUUAAGGUUGAAGAAUAGUUUAAAAUUGAUAAACUAGGGCUCAAUUCUGUUAAUAAGAAGAUGAUGGAAUUAAUUCCAGUGCCGAUCUGUUUGAUGCUUGAGCAAAGCUGGUUCCGUUGAUGAAUUGAAGAAUUUAGGGUUUGUAUGAAGUUACAUGGAAGAUGAAGUUGAUAAUUCUGAAGUAUGAUUAGAGGUGGGUUUGCUGUGAAUUAGGGUUAGACUGAAUUAUUAAUUCGAGAUUGGAUAAGUUAAGGUUUUGAAGAUGAGAUCGAUUGAAGAUGUUAAUAAAAUUAAGGUUUCGCUGUGUUCUUGAGAAAGUGAUGAAGGUGAUUAUGAGGCUGAAAUCGAUAGAAGAAGAGUUGGGUUAUCUAAGUUAUUGGAGAUGUUGUUGAUUCAGUCGAUUAUGCAAACUCAGGAAAAGGAAGAAAAGGUAAUUUAAGGCACCCUUCCAAUUGAAUGAAUUGAUAAUUGUAGAUAUGUGUCGCUUAGAUUGAAACUGAAUUGAGCCUGUUGGAGUUUUACUUUUGCCUUAACUGUGGAAUUGAGAUGUGUGAAACUCUGAAUUGCAAAUGGUGGUGAUUGGUGUUAUGGGUAAGCCUCUAAAUUAUCUGAAUUUUAAUAUUUUGAUUUGAAUGGUUACAAUUGUUGAGGUUCUGUGAAUAUGUCUGAGUUGGAGAUGAGUUAUGAGUUGUUAAUGAAAGUAUAAUGAAACUGACAUUUAGGUAACUAUUAUGUGCAUGUUGAAUUGAAGUUAUUUUGGAUGGAUUGAUUGUGGUGUUGAUUAUUGGUGGUGGUAUGAAUGAAUUGGGGAUUGAAUAUCAGUUGAGUAUUGUGUUUCUUUUUAAGAGGACUUGUUCUUGAUGGAGAUUGCAGAUGUUGUGAACAGAAUUGGUUGUGGGAUCGAUUUGAGUAUUGUUGUUGAUGUGGUAGCUACUGGAAUGAUGUUAAAUACAAGGAAAGGUUUGUUUUAGAGGAAGGGUAAUGGUUCUGUUAAAUCGAGAUGGUAGUGAACUGGAGAAUAUGUUAUGGGUUGGUCUGGUUGAGUGUAUGUUAUUGUUGGGGUUGUGUGGAUUGAAGAUAAUAGAAAUUGAGAUUUGGUUAUGUGUUGAUGUUGUUGAACUGGGCAGUUAUAACUGAAAAGAAAGAAGAAGAGUUGAAAUGUAAUUGGGCCAGAUUGUGUUGCGGUUGAGCUAUAUUGCAGGAACAUAGAUUCUGGGAUGAAGGUUAGAUUAGGGUGUUGAGUUGAACCUCUCUAGUGAAAGAUUGUAACUACAUUGACGAUUGUAAGGAAUAGCUUAUAGCUCCACUAGAGGCUUGCUACUGCAAUUGCAGGUAGGCUUAAAUUGCAGUUGUAUUUGUGUAUUAAUCUUGAAGUUUGUUUUGAAUGAAUGAAAUGUAUAAUGAUUGUAUAAA